UACAGAGGUCUCAAGCGUUGUUCGGAUUCAUUGGGCGUAAAGCGCGUGUAGGCGGCUUGGUAAGUCCGUUCUGAAAGCCCGGGGCUCAACCCCGGGAGGCGGAUGGAUACUGCUGAGCUCGAGUCCGGAAGAGGCGAGUGGAAUUCCUGGUGUAGCGGUGAAAUGCGCAGAUAUCAGGAGGAACACCAAUGGCGAAGGCAGCUCGCUGGGACGGUACUGACGCUGAGACGCGAAAGCGUGGGGAGCAAACAGG
Molecule: ribosomal RNA, 253 nt
Filed under: uncultured bacterium
Lineage: Bacteria
Description: partial 16S ribosomal RNA
Rfam family: Bacterial small subunit ribosomal RNA
Source: RNAcentral